This 489-nucleotide long non-coding RNA is filed under the name Bos taurus (domestic cattle). RNAcentral describes it as "long non-coding RNA NONBTAT000799". The record is from RNAcentral. Lineage: Eukaryota; Metazoa; Chordata; Mammalia; Artiodactyla; Bovidae.
UUAACUUUAUUAUAAGACUUUACAAAUGAACUGUCAUGUCCUGUUCUGGCUCUCAUUUUCUCAAAGGUCACAUAAUAAGAUUUGAAUAAAGCAAUAAAUACAUAUUUAUUUUCUAUGGAGAAUGUAACCUCACUCUUUUAUCAAGGUUUUUAUUCCAAGACUUUUCUGUAUUAUUUUCUUUUUUUAACUCAUUUUUUCUCAUUUCCUACCAUUCCAACAUUCCACCUGAACUCCAAAUGCCCUUUCUCCUCAUUGAUCUAUGGGUAAAACCUGUUCAUUCCAGAAUCAGUACUGCUUACAUGGAAUAAUGUCCUCCACUUCCUCCAAUAAUCCCAGCCCUAUUCAUUCCAUUCAUUUAUACCUGUAUGAUUACACCUUCUUCAUGUUCUCUCUCACCAUUCCCCAUCUUUCCCAUGUAGUAUCAGUAGAUACACCACAGAAAUUUUCUGAAUUACACAGAAUUGGUUCUCAGUAUUUGCUAGAUAGAAA